AGCAAAAGCAAGUCGACAAUGGCAUGAUAUUUGGUUCAUUUGACCCGAAACUAAGUGAUCUUAUCUUGAACAGGUUGAAGAAAGCGUAAUGUCUUUUGGAGGACCGAACCGACGUCUGUAGCAAUAGACGCGGAUGAUUUGAGAUAAGGGGUGAAAGGCCAAUCAAACUUAGAAAUAGCUGGUUCUUCGCGAAAUAUAUUGAGGUAUAGCGUACAUAGAAUUUCUGUUACUGGGGGUAGAGCACUCAUUGAGCUAUGGGGGUCCAAAACCUUACUGCUCUCAAGGAAACUCCGAAUACCAUAUAACAUG
This 309-nucleotide ribosomal RNA is filed under the name uncultured Micromonas. Its description in RNAcentral is "partial Bacterial large subunit ribosomal RNA". It matches the Rfam family "Bacterial large subunit ribosomal RNA", at positions 670 to 973 of the family's 2925-position model. Lineage: Eukaryota; Viridiplantae; Chlorophyta; Mamiellophyceae; Mamiellales. The record is from RNAcentral.